GGCAGUUCCUUGUCAGCAGCCAGAGGGGCAGGAGCUAGGAGGCGAGCAAUGCAGGAACCGCUCCAGCUGAGAGAAGGAUGGCAGCUCUGAGAGCUCAAGCCAGCUCAGCCCACUCCUGCUAUGAGGAAGAAAAAAAAUAGCACCUCUGUGGACUGCUAUCUAUGAUAUGGAUAGAUUAUACAAGAGAAGUAAGAAGGCACUUUUUGGGUGCAUGGCAAGGCUAAGGCUUCAUGAAGAAAAAUAAUUUCCCCACUUUGAGCAAUAUAAAAUAACAGUGUUGGACAGAAGAUUGUAAAUAUUAUAUUAAAUGGAUAAUAGGACAUGGAUGGAUGGCUACUACAGCUUAAGAAGUACAUUAUAUUUCAACACGCUUAUUGGUGGUUAAAAUGUUAAUGAACAGCAUUAUAAAGGGAAUUUUGCACUACUCAGGAAAUCUACUUGACAUGAGGAGAAAAAGUUAAUUUCAGCCCAGCCUCAUUAAUCAGAUCUGCCUACAGCUAAGAAAGUGUCACCCAAGUAUGUUUUGCUUUCUGCGGUGUGUUGCUGAUGAAGAUACUGACACAAAACAGAAGUAAUUGGAUUUGUGCUGGUAGGCAGUGGUAAAAAUAAAA
Molecule: long non-coding RNA, 611 nt
Organism: Alligator mississippiensis (American alligator)
Lineage: Eukaryota; Metazoa; Chordata; Crocodylia; Alligatoridae
Exons: 4
Source: RefSeq, a predicted model, not a curated record